Molecule: ribosomal RNA, 654 nt
Filed under: uncultured marine archaeon
Lineage: Archaea
Description: bacterial SSU rRNA
Rfam family: Archaeal small subunit ribosomal RNA
Source: RNAcentral
CCGCCAAUUGGAUGUACUAAGCCAUGCGAGUCUUUUGUGGUAAUACAAGGCAGACGGCUCAGUAACGCGUACCCCAUCUACCCUAUGGACGGUGAUAACCACGGGAAACUGAGACCCCUUACCGAUAGAACAUUAUGCCUGGAAUGGUUUAUGUUCCAAGUGAUUUAUCGCCGUAGGAUGGGACUGCGGCCCAUCAGUUUGUUGGUGAGGUAAUGGCCCACCAAGACUAUUACAGGUACAGGCUCUGAGAGGAGUGGCCCGGAGAUGGGUACUGAGACACGGACCCAGGCCCUAUGGGGCGCAACAGGCAAGAAAACUUUUGCAAUGUGCGAAAGCACUACAAGGUUAAUCCAAGUGGUUUCUGCUAAAGAGACCUUUUGUCGGUCCUAAAAACACCGAUGAAUAAGGGGUGGGCAAGUUCUGGUGUCACCCGCCCCAGUAAAACCAGCACAUCACGUGGUCAGGAUGAUUACUGCCGCCAAAGCAAACGUAACCACGCAUUGUUAGUUAUCGGUUAAAUCAGCACACACAACGUACAGGCUGCCGGAAAUACUGUCAAACUCGGGAUGGGGAGAGGUAGACGCGUCUCCGUAGCUACGGGAUAAAAUCCUCUUCUUUAUUGAUGUACCCGAUGUGGCCAAGUGCGGCCCCCAC